Non-coding RNA from Triticum urartu, 124 nucleotides. The record is from Rfam. NCBI's taxonomy places the organism in Eukaryota, Viridiplantae, Streptophyta, Magnoliopsida, Poales, Poaceae.
GAUGUACUCCCUCCGUCCGGAAAUACUUGUCCUAGAAAUGGAUAAAAUGGAUGUAUCUAUAACUAAAAUAAGUCUAGAUACAACCAUUUCUAGGACAAGUAUUUUCGGACGGAGGGAGUAUAUA